ACUAAAAAAAAAUUCAUGAAAUACUGAUUUUGCAAUUUUGUUCGUAGAUUGAUCUGAUUUUCAAGCACAAGCCCCCACAAAAGUUUGGAGGCUAAGGUUUUGGCAAACCGAAAGGUCACAACCAGCAUAUUGGGAGUUAGCUGGGACCCUAAGGAAGCGUUUGCGCCUAAGUAUUUGAAAAUGAAUGUUGGUUUACUGAAAAAAAAUCAUGAAAUACGGAUUUUGCAAUUUUGUUCGUAGAUUGAUCUGAUUUUCAAGCACAAGCACCCACAAAAGUUUGGAGGCUAAGGUUUUGGCUAACUGAAAGGUCACAACCCGCAUAUUGGGAGUUAGCUGGGACCCUAAGGAAGCGUUUGCGCCCAAGUAUUUGAAAAUCCAUGUUGGUUUACUGAAAAAAAUUCAUGAAAUACUGAUUUUGCAAUUUUGUUCGUAGAUUAAUCUGAUUUUCAAGCACAAGCCCCCACAAAAGUUUGGAGGCUAAGAUUUUGGCAAACCCAAAGGUCACAACCCGCAUUUUGGGAGUUGGCUGGGACCCUAAGGAAGCGAUUGCUCCUAAGUAUUUGAGAACUUAUGUUGGUUUACUGAAAAAAAAAUCAUGAAAUACGGAUUUUGCAAUUUUGUUCGUAGAUUUAUCUGAUUUUCAAGCACAAGCCCCCACAAAAAUUUGGAGGCUAAGGUUUUGGCUAACUGAAAGGCCACAACCCCGCAUAUUGGGAGUUGGCUGGGACCCUAAGGAAGCGUUUGCGCCCAAGUAUUUGAAAAUCCGUGUGGGUUUACUAAAAAAAUUUCAUGAAAUACGGAUUUUGCAAUUUUGUUCGUAGAUUGAUCUGAUUUUCAAGCACAAGCCCCCACAAAAAUUUGGAGGCUAAGGUUUUGGCUAACUGAAAGGUCACAACCCGCAUAUUGGGAGUUAGCUGGGACCUUAAGGAAGCGUUUGCGCCCAAGUAUUUGAAAAUCCGUGUGGGUUUACUAAAAAAAAUUUCAUGAAAUACGGAUUUUGCAAUUUUGUUCGUAGAUUGAUCUGAUUUUCAAGCACAAGCCCCCACAAAAGUUUGGAGGCUAAGGUUUUGGCAAACCGAAAGGUCACAACCCGCAUAUUGGGAGUUAGCUGGGACCCUAAGGAAGCGUUUGCGCCCAAGUAUUUGGAAAUCCGUGUGGGUUUACUGAAAAAAAAUCAUGAAAUACGGAUUUUGCAAUUUUGUUCUUAGAUUGAUCUGAUUUUCAAGCACAAGCCCCCACAAAAGUUUGGAGGCUAAGGUUUUGGCAAACCGAAAGGUCACAACCCGCAUAUUGGGAGUUAGCUGGGACCCUAAGGAAGCGUUUGCACUUAAGUGUAUGAAAAUCCAUGUUGGUUUACUGAAAAAAAAUCAUGAAAUACGGAUUUUGCAAUUUUGUUCGUAGAUUGAUCUGAUUUUCAAGCACAAGCUCCCUCAAGAGUUUGGAGGCUAUGGUUUUGGCAAAUCGAAAGGUCACAACCCGCAUAUUGGGAGUUAGCUGGUACCCUAAGGAAGCGAUUGCUCCUAAGUAUUUGAAAAUUAAUGUUGGUUCACUGAAAAAAAUAUCAUGAAAUACGGAUUUUGCAAUUUUGUUCGUAGAUUGAUCUGAUUUUCAAGCACAAGCCCCCACAAAAGCUUGGAGGCUAAGGUUUUGGCAAACCGAAAGGUCACAACCCGCAUAUUGGGAGUUAGCUGGGACCGUAAGGAAGCGUUUGCGCCCAAGUAUUUGAAAAUGAAUGUUGGUUUACUGAAAAAAAUUCUUGAAAUACGGAUUUUGCAAUUUUGUUCUUAGAUUUAUCUGAUUUUCAAGUGUAACCUAAUUGCUUGGAUUCGGGUCGAAAGUAUCCGCGAUCCACGUGUCUGGUUACCCGUAGCUAGUGACUUAAGCGCCACCUUCAACAGAAGGGCCACUAGCACUGUUUAUGUCCGGCCAAAGACUCUUCUCUGAGGGCAGGUUGUUGUUCCCAAUCACCGUAAAUUCACUUAAUCUCCCUUUCCAAACCCAACCAAUCUUAGGGGACGUUCAAAAAUUACGUCGAUCAUUUGGGGGAGGGGGGGGGUCUACAAAAGUGUGACACUACGUGUAUUAGGUAUGGGAAAAUGCGUGACAGAGGGGGGAGGGGGGGUCUAGAAAUCCCAAAAAUGUAUGGACGUAAUAUUUGAAUCUUCCCUUAAACCAAUCAGAAAACCGAAGCUAGAACUGAGACCUAAAAUACUAUAAAAUCAUCGCACUUCAUAUUAAAAAACUCGAGCACUGAUGGAGACGCAUGGUUACUUAAAAUGAUUGAAAUAAUAUUUACAAAAAAAGGAUUAACUCAGGCAAUUGAAAGAAAUUCAACUUGAAAACUUAAUUCUAAAACGCUUCCCAAAGAAAAUAAAGAAAAACUAAAGAAAAUUCAAGUUCAAUUUUUAAAAUUUAAUUCGCGAAAAAGUGUGAAAGCAAAAACUAGGAACUAAGGUAUUUAACUACUACGUGUAUUUACAAUAUUUUACAAAUUCCCCCAACUUUUUUCAGAGCUCAUUCUUCUUCGAGUGCACAAAACUAAAACGGGCUUACUUGCUGGCCAGCUGGCUUGGGUUCCAACGAAGGAUGGCUUCACGUGGCGUCGACGCACUUCAGUUCCUCGGAGCGGUUCGGGAAUCGCCGUAUUCUAAGAGGCCGCACAGCAGAUUCUUCGGGAAAAUUGUCCCGGAAUCGUGGGUGGUGGACCGCUGCUUGCCAGUUAGCGACGACCGAGCGUGGGACGGCCACGUACUUUGGGCUCCAGACAAACACCCACGUUGAAUGGGUUUAGCCACCUUUAAGUACGGCCGAUUUUACUUCACACUCUUUUUGACGUUAUUGAACCACUUCCGAAUAAACUAUUCAAAAAAUCAAUUAACCGUUUUAAGAUUCAACAACUUACACUUUUACGUUUUCAAAUCAACCACCUUGAACAACGGUUUCCACCAGAGUAAAGAGAGUUUGAUAUGAGUGCCCCAACCCCUUUUAUAGGUUCAGCCCACUGAUCAGUACUGUCUACUUUCCUGAUUUCUGAUUGGUCCAAAUAUGGUUUCCGGUUUUUCUUUUGAAAUUUAUAGUGAAUUUUGAUUGGCUGGAAAAAGGGUUUCCGGUUUCGGGUUGUCUUUCCAUAGUCUAGCACUUCUUCUCGAAUUUCCAAAUUAUUCGAGUACGAAAGAAAAGCGCAUAAAGAAUUCCGCCUGCGGGUAUGCAAUGUACGUGCUUUUUAAAGGUUAUCGUUUUAGUACUCGAGCGGACAUACCGAUUCCUACCACUAGGUGUCUCUAAACGCCACAACGAUAAAACGAACAAACUGUUGGGCAUACACGGUAAACCAAAAUUGAACAGAUUAAAAAAAAGAAUUAUUUAAACAAUUUUAAAAUUGUUUUAAUAAUAACAAGCACAUGUUACAAAGACAUUUGUUACAUUCGCCCCUACUAAUUUUUCCAAAUUUAAAAAUACGCUACACACUUUCACGCAACAACUAUGAAAUGAAUAUUGACCUUUUUUUUAUUAGAAUGUUUAUCUAUAUUUACAAUCUUUAUGUGACAACUGCGGACCUAAAUUUAACUUUUUGAAAAAAAAAAAUACUAUUUACAAGUGUCAAUCGUUUCAACUUGUAGCUAUCUUGUCUUGGAGAUUAAUUGGUGAUUCCUCAACUUAAAUCGCAAACAUUCCAUCUCACAUUCAUACAACUAUACUAAGAUUGCCUUAAUUGCUACGCAAUAGGCAAUUCUCCCCUUACCCAAUUUUGAAUUACUCCAUACAUAAUGGAAGAAAAUGAAUGACCGACAUGGAAAUUAUUAUCCAAUAACUUCAUAAAUAUAUGAAAGAAAUAAUUACCGACUGUUGCUUAUCCAGCAUAACUUCAUAAAAAUAUGAAAGAAAUAAUCUCAACUUAUUUUCUAACCAAUUCUAACCCCUUUCAUGUACACAUUACUAAACGCAUUCAUUAUUAUCGUUUCGGAAAUCACAUGGGCUAUUGCAUAACUUCUGGGGUUACUGGAUGUUUUCGAACUUCGUAUCUUAUUGGAAUCUAUUGGAAUGGGUGGUAGCAUUCCUAUCGCAAAACGGGUGGGGUGGUAACGGGUGGUUUAUUUACAUUGAACUGUCAGAAGUGAAAGAAUGAGAUUUUCCUUUUGUACCGGAUAUAUUGUGAUGAAAUAUAAUAUUGUGAACGGAAACCUAGUGAUCGAUCAUGUUUUCUGCAAAAUUUUAAGGUAAGCUUGUGAAUUUUAAUUCGUGUGACCAUUUAUCAUGAAACUUUAUAAUUUGUAGCUAACGUGGAAAACAAUUGGAAAGCGGAUGGAAUAAUUUCUACUGAAUACGGUAACAAAAAAGAAUGGGUUCGGCAGAAAUGGAAUGGCUUGAACUGUCAGAUUGUUUCAACGCUGCAGGUGCUACAUGAAGACUCUACAGAGUUUAUUUGAAUGCUGUACUGAUUGGACAUACUAAGCUGUACGGCGUAGUUGUUGCUGAAGUGACUGAUGGCUAUAGGAUCGAAAAAAGGACCUGGAUUACAUGGACUACUAUUGCUGCUUUGGAUCUAUUUUUGCAACUGGAGAUGGACUGAUGAAACAAAUUGACGAUUGGAUUGAGCUUAGACUACUAUGUGCAGAUUUUUUUGCUGAUCUACGCGGGAUGUUUAAUUAAGAUAAGUGUUCAGUUUUUUAUGUAUGUUUUAUCUUUAUUACCCUAAAUUAACUUACUGACCUAAUUAUUGUUUUUGUUAUGAAGAUAUUAACCUAUUUUCUUUUCUUUUUUCUUUGAGUUAGGUGUCGCGAUUGGAGCCUUGUCGUCGACUACAAGGGUUGUUUGAAUUGUUCCGUCUUCUAAUCUAUUUCUCUUCCUCUAUGGACCAUUUCCUACCCGGAGGCUCUACUGCAGGACGCGGCAUGGAUGCGACGCCUUGGAUUGUGAUGACCACUACGUGUGUUUUUAAUCUCUUGAGCUCAUUCUUCUUCGAGUGCACAAAACUAAAACGGGCUUACUUGCUGGCCAGCUGGCUUGGGUUCCAACGAAGGAUGGCUUCACGUGGCGUCGACGCACUUCAGUUCCUCGGAGCGGUUCGGGAAUCGCCGUAUUCUAAGAGGCCGCACAGCAGAUUCUUCGGGAAAAUUGUCCCGGAAUCGUGGGUGGUGGACCGCUGCUUGCCAGUUAGCGACGACCGAGCGUGGGACGGCCACGUACUUUGGGCUCCAGACAAACACCCACGUUGAAUGGGUUUAGCCACCUUUAAGUACGGCCGAUUUUACUUCACACUCUUUUUGACGUUAUUGAACCACUUCCGAAUAAACUAUUCAAAAAAUCAAUUAACCGUUUUAAGAUUCAACAACUUACACUUUUACGUUUUCAAAUCAACCACCUUGAACAACGGUUUCCACCAGAGUAAAGAGAGUUUGAUAUGAGUGCCCCAACCCCUUUUAUAGGUUCAGCCCACUGAUCAGUACUGUCUACUUUCCUGAUUUCUGAUUGGUCCAAAUAUGGUUUCCGGUUUUUCUUUUGAAAUUUAUAGUGAAUUUUGAUUGGCUGGAAAAAGGGUUUCCGGUUUCGGGUUGUCUUUCCAUAGUCUAGCACUUCUUCUCGAAUUUCCAAAUUAUUCGAGUACGAAAGAAAAGCGCAUAAAGAAUUCCGCCUGCGGGUAUGCAAUGUACGUGCUUUUUAAAGGUUAUCGUUUUAGUACUCGAGCGGACAUACCGAUUCCUACCACUAGGUGUCUCUAAACGCCACAACGAUAAAACGAACAAACUGUUGGGCAUACACGGUAAACCAAAAUUGAACAGAUUAAAAAAAAGAAUUAUUUAAACAAUUUUAAAAUUGUUUUAAUAAUAACAAGCACAUGUUACAAAGACAUUUGUUACACAAGCACAAGCCCCCACAAAAGUUUGGAAGUUAAGGAAGCGUUUGCUCCUAAGUAUUCUAAAAUCCAUGUUGGUUUACUGAAAAAAAUUCUUGAAAUACGGAUUUUGCAAUUUCGUUCUUAGAUUUAUCUGAUUUUCAAGCACAACCCCCACAAAAGUUUGGAGGCUAUGGUUUUGGCAAACCGAAAGGUCGCAACCCGCAUAUUGGGAGUUAGCUGGGACCCUAAGAAAGCGAUUGCUCCUGAGCAUUUGAAAAUCCGGGUUGGUUUAUUGAAAAAAAUUCAGGAAAUACGGAUUUUGCAAUUUUGUUCGUAGAUUGAUCUGAUUUUCAAGCACAAGCUCCCUCAAAAGUUUGGAGGCUAAGGUUUUAGCAAACCGAAAGGUCAAAACCCGCAUAUUGAGAGUUAGCUGGGACCCUAAGGAAGCGUUUGCACUCAAGUGUUUGAAAAUCCAUGUUGGUUUACUGAAAAAAAAUCAUGAAAUACGGAUUUUGCAAUUUUGUUCGUAGAUUGAUCUGAUUUUCAAGCACAAGCCCCCACAAAAGUUUGGAGGCUAUGGUUUUGGCAAGCCGAAAGGUCACAAACCGCAUAUUGGGAGUUAGCUGGGACCCUAAGGAAGCGAUUGCUCUUAAGUUUUUGAAAAUCCGUGUUGGUUUACUGAAAAAAUUUCAUGAAAUACGGAUUUUGCAAUUUUGUUCUGUUAUAACCAAAGUAGAAACCAUGAAAACGGGAGUUUUAAGAGACGUUCUUUGAGGAUGGAAAUAAUCAGCCCGUUCGGAUUCAUGGUCUACAACUUACUCAAUAUAUUUAUUGUUCUAGUUACAUGAGAUCUAUCAUAUCUGAGUACCCGUUCGUGGGUAUCGCUAUUUUACCGAGCGUGGAGUCACUACAACUCCUUUCCCCUUAGGCUAGUAUAUAAGGACAUUCUGAAAUUUCUAAAUUAAUAUAAUUAUCAUUUCAAAUUUUCAGAAUGCAAACUAUAGUUUGCAAUUUACACUCGAACGAACUAAUGUUCUUCUACACGUUCAUUAUACAUACAUUUUGUUUGUUAUUCACCCUCACUUAUCUUUAAGAUUUUUAUGUAUGUUUCCCGUAUUGAAUAAUCUAUGACUUACAGAAUUCUCCUCCGAAAAAAAAAACUUGCAAAAUUAAACAGAAUCCAAAUUUAAAAUGUGCAUUUUUACUACUGUCACAAUGUGUUGCCUUUUUAAUGGAAAAAUUAUAUACUCAAAACAAAUCUUGAAAACAAAUGCAAAAAUGCUACACGAAGAAUGAAAGAGUACUUGUCACACAAAAACACAAAAAAAAAUUGCAAAAAAAAAAAACCGUACCAGCCCUGGCGGAAAACAAUUACAAUGAUCACAAAAAAAAUGCAAAAAAAACAUACGAAUCAAACACUAGAAACUCGGCGGCUCAGCUAUCCUCCAUCACACGGCCUCCUGUCCACGGCUCACAGUAGGGAAGUCCAUUGCUUUUCUUGUGCGCCGAUAGUGUCACCAAAUGAAAGAAGGCCGAUCCAGUAUGCACCGCGUCCAAAACAUUGCGCAGCAACAACAAAAAAUGCACUUCUUUCCUCCGCUUUAGUCCAAAUACCAGAUGAGAAAACCGAGAUAACACACACUGCUGCGAAUUGAGUGUCAUCGUCUCUGGCCACAGUUGAUCGCCAAAAGGGCUUGCGACUGGCUUCGUGUUGCGAUCGUUGCGAUCAAAUGAAAAUGGUGCUCAAUAAAAAUGUCAAGAAACAAAUAUGACAAAAAACAAAGCACAAUAAAGGCCUCCAUUUUCAAUGGGUAAAUUAUCGUAUAGAGAUGAAAUUACGCUCCUCUCUCAUCAAAUAAAAACAAAAUACAAAAUGGUUUGCACUUAAACCAAGACAAAAGCGGUUUUUACGCCAUGCUAAGAAAGAGGAUCACUUUGUACUAGCAGUUUUUUAAUGCACAACUGUUUAUACCAAAUCACAAACAAGGUAGCAAACAAAAUCACGCCAAAAACGAAUAUACGCCAGGGGUCGUGAAUGU
Aedes albopictus (Asian tiger mosquito) is the source of this 7875-nucleotide long non-coding RNA. RefSeq lists it as uncharacterized. Lineage: Eukaryota; Metazoa; Arthropoda; Insecta; Diptera; Culicidae. The record is from RefSeq and is a predicted model, not a curated record. The transcript has 2 exons.